GAUGAAGAACGUAGCGAAAUGCGAUAAGUAAUGUGAAUUGUAGAAUUCAGUGAAUCAUCGAAUCUUUGAACGCACCUUGCGCCCUUUGGCUAUUCCGAAGGGCAUGCCUGUUUGAGUAUCAUGAACACCUCAACUCUCAUGGUUUGCCAUGAUGAGCUUGGACUUUGGGGGUCUUGCCGGCCUAUGGGUCGGCUCCUCUCAAAUUAAUCAGCUUGCCAGUGUUUGGUGGCAUCACAGGUGUGAUAACUAUCUACGCUUGUGGUUUUCCAUCAGGUAACCUUCAGUGAUGGAGGUUCGCUGGGGCUCAUAAAUGUCUCUCCUCAGUGAGGACAGCUUUUUUGAACGUUUGAUCUCAAAUCAGGUAGGACUACCCGCUGAACUUAAGCAUAUCAAUAAGCGGAGGA
RNAcentral lists this unclassified non-coding RNA (404 nucleotides) under soil metagenome. RNAcentral's name for it is "partial contains 5.8S ribosomal RNA, internal transcribed spacer 2, and large subunit ribosomal RNA". The stretch from base 1 to 121 matches the Rfam family "5.8S ribosomal RNA", at positions 35 to 154 of the family's 154-position model. The record is from RNAcentral.